AGCGUAGGUGGUUAUUUAAGUCCGUUGUGAAAGCCCUGGGCUCAACCUGGGAACUGCAGUGGAUACUGGAUGACUAGAAUGUGGUAGAGGGUAGCGGAAUUCCUGGUGUAGCAGUGAAAUGCGUAGAGAUCAGGAGGAACAUCCAUGGCGAAGGCAGCUACCUGGACCAACAUUGACACUGAGGCACGAAAGCGUGGGGAGCAAACA
Molecule: ribosomal RNA, 207 nt
Filed under: uncultured bacterium
Lineage: Bacteria
Description: partial 16S ribosomal RNA
Rfam family: Bacterial small subunit ribosomal RNA
Source: RNAcentral